This 253-nucleotide ribosomal RNA is filed under the name uncultured bacterium. RNAcentral's name for it is "partial 16S ribosomal RNA". It matches the Rfam family "Bacterial small subunit ribosomal RNA", at positions 524 to 776 of the family's 1533-position model. The record is from RNAcentral.
UACGAAGGGGGCUAGCGUUGCUCGGAAUCACUGGGCGUAAAGGGUGCGUAGGCGGGUCUUUAAGUCAGGGGUGAAAUCCUGGAGCUCAACUCCAGAACUGCCUUUGAUACUGAGGAUCUUGAGUUCGGGAGAGGUGAGUGGAACUGCGAGUGUAGAGGUGAAAUUCGUAGAUAUUCACAAGAACACCAGUGGCGAAGGCGGCUCACUGGCCCGAUACUGACGCUGAGGCACGAAAGCGUGGGGAGCAAACAGG